UGGUGAUCGAUGAUUCGUUGGGUGGGUGGGGGACUGGCUGACUGUGUAUUGUGGUUUGGAUGGCAGGUUUAGCGUCAGUAAUAGCUAGGAUUAGGGUUCAGGCGAUGCUAAAAUUUUGGGGUGCCAAUUGCAGAAUCACUGGAUUGAUUCAUAUUUUAGCGUCAGUAAUAGCUAGGCCAAGGGCGGCAGAUCUAAGGCUGGCCAUGCCCUCAUCCAUCAAGGGGGAGGCGGGUGGGCUAGUGGGGAGCAGAGGAGCUCCCGUGCAGGUGGCAACAAUGCUCAGGAAGGGAGGAAUGUUGGCUACUGUGGCGCCUGCGGCCGAUAGGGAGGGCGGCGGCCCUGUGCAGGCCGCGACGACUAGAGAGAAUUUGGGCGAUGUGGCAGCUUCAGCCAGCAAGUGGCGAGAAAGAGGCAAGGAGGGGAAAAGGACGAGGGUGGAGGCGCGCUGGCCAUGGCGCCAAUGCUGUCGGCUGGGAGGCCUGCUGGCGCCGGCGGCCUGCAAGCCUGGAGGCGGCGGCGAUGCUAGGG
This 528-nucleotide unclassified non-coding RNA is filed under the name Zea mays. RNAcentral's name for it is "misc RNA Zm00001eb282090". The record is from RNAcentral. Lineage: Eukaryota; Viridiplantae; Streptophyta; Magnoliopsida; Poales; Poaceae.